Molecule: non-coding RNA, 4787 nt
Organism: Misgurnus anguillicaudatus (oriental weatherfish)
Lineage: Eukaryota; Metazoa; Chordata; Actinopteri; Cypriniformes; Cobitidae
Source: RefSeq, a predicted model, not a curated record
AAUGAAGGGGAGGAGUUUAUAAUGACUACAUAAAAGAGGGAGAGAGCACAAGUCAGUCCUUUCAAUCCUGCAGACUCUCUUGUCUGAGAUGGAGCGGAGAUGAUCCACUUGCAAGCAGUGAUCCAGCUGGCAAUGUACUGGAACAACUCCAGAACGCUGUCACUAGAUGACUGCCUACAAGAUGAGACAUUACGCUGCCGAAGGAUGGCCUUAGGCCUUUUUUCUUGAUGCUUGCAUUUUAUUUGUAAGUAACUAAAUAUAUUUUUAAAUAACAAGGAGGAAAGAAGGAGAACCUGUCUCCCACGGGAUUUGGGCACUCGGGUCCACUGCCCUGUUUUAGUGGCUACUGUGUGAUUUUCCUUUGGAAAUCUCAUCAGUCCUCUGGAUGGGGUUCAGUGGACCUGCAGUGUACAGCGCCAGAUCUAUGAGCUGCUGAUGAAGCACCGAAAACUAGAAGCCAAAAAUGACCCAGAAACUCUACAAAACUCUAUCCCAUUCCCUAUUGCUGGCUUCUGGUUGUCUGUGGCUUGGUUGGUAGGUCAUGAGGAUGACUUGCUGUAAAACAACCUAUUUUUUCCAAGGCUGAGUGCAUCUUUCUGAAAAAGAGAAAAAACAAUAAAAAUUGAAAAACCUGGUAACUAAAAUUAAUGUCUGUGUUUUCUUUGAUUUUGUUACAGUGAACACUAUCCGAACAAGUUAAAGAGUCAAAAUCAUUAUUCAUCUUAAAUGAACUGGUAAUCAUGCUUUGUUAUCCCAGGUAAAAAAAGUUAUAUACUACUACUAAGUGUACUUAAGUUUCACCUGGGCUUAUACAUAACAGCAGCGGUGUAGCUUUGGUUUGAGAAGUGGGGGACACAAAAUAGGGGAAAAUGUUUUCGACUUGAAUCCCAUUUCUUGCAUUUACAUACGUUUAGGGACUAUCUAUGGUGAUACAAAAUACAGUAAAUAAUUAAGUUAAUUAUAAUGAAAAUUUUGCCAAAAAGAAUAGUAUGCUACUAAACUAAGAAAAAUAUGUCUUAUUUUCUUUGUUGUUUAAUUAACCGAUCACCAACAUUUGAGACAAUCGUUUUAUAAAGUCAAAAAUCCAUUAAUCACAUUAACCAUUAAUGUGAAAGUGGGGGAGGGGACACGAUUGGGAUUUUGAAAAGUGUGGGGGGGGGACAUGUCCCCCUCGCCCCAAUGGAAAUUACGCCCCUGCAUAACAAUACAAAUACUUGUGUACUUGUAUAGUUAGUGUACUUUUGUACUUGUAUAGCAGUGUUUAGUUAAAGCGAUAGAUUAGUAUGUGUGUUGCCUGGAAUUGAACCCACAACCUUUUGCGUUACAAUGCAAUGCUUUACCACUGAACUUUAAGAACUCUGCAUAGCAUAAAUACAACAUUAUGUAUAGAGCAAUGGGCUGAUAUCAAUGUGUCAGGGGAACUCUGAAAAAUUCAAAAUGUCAAAUAUAUAAAAAAAACAAUACUGGUAAGAUUUUAAUUUGAUCAAACAUUAAUUAAUCUACUGUACAGCUCUAUAUACAUAUAAUAUUAUCUAUCUAAUAUGAUUUACUACAAUUUGUUUUGAUCAAGCAAGCCUGGACAGGACUGGCUUCCAUAAGUCAAUCAAUCAGGAGGAAGAUAUGAAGUCAGCCAAUCAGGAGGAAGAUAGGAAGAAAAGUAUAAAAACUAUGCAAAGUCUCUGCACUAUAGAUUUGACCCUUUCACUUGCAAACCAGUCUGCCUUGAAUCUAAACAUAUUGUGACUAUGCAGAUGGCACAUGUAACUGUAUACAAGACAUGAUGAGCAGUUCACAGACUGUAAACAGUAUGGAAAUGAGGGGGAGGAGUUUAUAAUGACUACAUAAAAGAGGAAGAGAGCACAAGUCGGUCCUUUCAAUCCUGCAGACUCUCUUGUCUGAGAUGGAGCGGAGAUGAUCCACUUGCAAGCAGUGAUCCAGCUGGCAAUGUACUGGAACAACUCCAGAACGCUGUCACUCGAUGACUGCCUACAAGAUGAGACAUCACGCUGCUGAAGGAUGGCUUUUGGCAUUUUGCCUAAUGCUUGCAUUUUAUUUUUGUUUUUGGAGGAGAGGAGGAAAACCCGUCUGCCAAGGGAUUUGGGCACUCGGGUCCACUGCCCUGUUUUAGUGGCUCCUGUGUGGUUUUCCUUUGGAAACCCCAUCAGUCCUCUGGAUGGGGUUCAGUGGACCUGCAGUGUACAGCGCCAGUUCUAUGAACUGCUGAUGAAGCACCGAAAACUAGAAGCAACCAAAAGAACCUACACAACUCAACAAAUGACACAGAAAGUCGACUAUUACCUAUCCCUAAACCUUAUGGUCGGCUUCUGGUUGUCUGUUGCUUGGUUGGUAGGUCAUGGGGAUGGCCUGCUGUGAAACACAACCUUUUUUAUUUUUAUUUCCAAGGCUGCGCAACUUUCAGAAAAAAGACAAUAAAAAUUGAAAAACCUGGUAACUGAAAUGAAUGUCUGUGUUGUCUUUUAUUUCAUUACAGUGAAAAACUAUCUAUAAAAAAGAGUCAAAAUGAGAAUAUCUUAACUGAAUUGGUAAUCAUGCAGUGUUCUCCCAGAUUAAAACAAAGUAAAUAAAAGUGUAAAAGUUAUAUACUACAAAUAAGUGUAUUUUAGUGAAUCCAGCUUUUUUAAAAAAAAGUGUUUUGCUAAAUUUUCUUUAAAUUACCAUAUCACAAAUAAAGAGGUACCCAGUUUGUCCUAUAACUGUGAACCAACAUUAGAUAUAUUUACAGAUACCUCAGCAAGAAAUAUGUAAAGGUUAACAUCUAAACUUGAAGUGUAGGACAUUUUGUUUUCAGUUGAUACAGGAUCCUAAUUAUAAAUAAAUUUAGCAGAUGUAUUCCAAAGCAACAAGCAAAAAGUCUAUGCAAACCAAUGUACCAAUGCACACAAUAAUAAAAGUGAGUCAUGAAUCCUCCCUAACAUGUUGUUUACUUGUGAAUACAAACACAAGGUAGUUAGGUGGAGUUCAUUUUCCAUCACAUGCUUUAAUAAUAGAAAAUUCCCUGUGGUUUUGUUUUGGUUGGCUAGGGACAUUUACAUUUAGGCAGAUGCUUUUAUCCAAAGCGACUUACGAAGAUAAGGAAACAAUGGACCAGCUUAAUAACUUAAGAUUAAAAUUUUAUGAAACAUAAAAUGUUUCAGUAUAGCUGUAUAUACACAUAAUAUUAUCUAUCUAAUAUGAUUAACUACAAUUAACUAUUUUUUAUCAAGCAUUUAUUAACAAACACAUCUAAAAUGCUCUGAAAGCAAAGCUUUCACUUUCGUUUAUACGAAAAUAUUACAUUGUGCCUGGACAGGAUUGGCUUCUAUAAGUCAGCCCAUCAGGAAGAAGAUAUGAAGUCAGCCAAUCAGGAGGGAGAUAUAAAGGAAAGUAUAAAAACUAUGCAAAGUCUCUGCACAAUAGAUUUGACCUUGUCGCUUGCAAACCUUCUGCCUUGAAUCGAAACUUAUUGUGAUUAUGAGCUCAUCAGGGGACAGCGAAGGAGAGGAUGAUGAUGAUGAAAAUGAUGAUGAAGAUAACCAGGGUGCUGGAAUAAGCAUCUGCUGCUAAGGGUAUAUGCUCCAGACCUUGUAUCCAGUGUUAGAAAACACCAAAAGAGACACGCUGGACCACGAACUGUGUUGAUUUGCUGAUACAAACCAGUAGCCCAGUCGAACGCACAGUUCCUGUUGUGACAAAGAGUCACAAACAGAAAACCCUCGCCUGCCAUGCGCAAGCAAGCAUGGCCAACCGUGACGUGACACAGAAUCUUCCAUGGAGACGAUGCAUCUCGCAAGGUUUCUGCUGUGCAGUGGCAGCAGCAUCUCUGUUCUUCGGAUCGGCAUUGCUUUUGUGCCUGUUUGUGCGAGCCUGAAGAACCCAUGGAGGAAAGAAAGAAAUAAACAUGGAGUGGUGGAAACCUGAUGGUUAAAGAUCUGAGCUGCUGGUCCAGAGGUUUGAAGAUUUGAACACAAUCUUCCUAAUCCACCAUUGUGCUCCUGAGCAAAGCACUUGACUUCAAGUUAUUUCAGCAGGACUUAAAGUACUGCAAUUGUUUCACUGUAAUCACUCAUAAGCAUCCAAUUUUAAACAAACAGGAUGGGCUGGACGGGCAACAUUAAUGGAUGCAUUUUGCUCAUAAACUAGGGGGUCACCGCCCUAUUAAAGCCCAGGUGUAACUGUUUUAUUGUUAUAAAGAUAAUUUAUGGCUGCUUUGUCUGUGUAACUCUCCAGAAUAACUAGCAGAUGGUUUUUGGAGUAGCAGAGAUCAGGGGCAGAGGUAAAAGAUCACUGUUCAUUUUUCUUCCAGAAACGUCUUUUAGCUCCAGAGCUUUAAUGCCACAAUACUGGCAUUCAGCCAUAAAGAGCGUGUUUAGUGCGGGACUACAUGCUCACCAGGACGUGGUCAACAAGCACACCCAAUCUGCAGGUUGUGCUUACAAAGUUGAAUUCACAGAGUUCUGAUAACUUAUUAAAACACACAAUACACCAAUAUCACACACUGCUAGUGCACACACUAUGCAACACGUGUAGACAUAAAUGAGAAUGUAAUGGGUAAAGUAACUCAUGCAUAACUCAUGUCCGAAUAGGACUUAGGUCUAGCCUAAAUGAAGCCCCGCUGGUCACAACACCAUCGGCACUCAUGUCAUAUUGGGAGAUUAUGUUGUACUUAGUUAUGUGGUAAUGGGGAUUAUUAGCAUUGAUGUUAUUCAUGUCAUAACUGUGACUGUAUUACACUAGCUAGUAAGCCACACGGUAACUCCCCUCUUAAAUAAAGUUGUGUGAUAAAAGGA